Non-coding RNA from Schizosaccharomyces pombe (fission yeast), 3154 nucleotides. NCBI's taxonomy places the organism in Eukaryota, Fungi, Ascomycota, Schizosaccharomycetes, Schizosaccharomycetales, Schizosaccharomycetaceae. The record is from the annotation of a GenBank genome assembly.
GUCAUCUACAAUACACUAAAACCACAGAAAAAAAGUAUUAUAUUAAUAAACAAUGAAACCCCUAAUAUCAAUAAUAUUUUUUCUCAGGAAAUGCUAGUAACACUUUCUGAAAACGAUGCAUAAUACUCAAGCAUAUCUCGGGUUAUGGCUUUCCGCAAUGCCAAUAAUGCUGUUUUAAAGUGAGCUUGACAUAUUUCUUUCGCUUCCAAAUCCUCGUGCAUAGCUAUCAGACCAGCUUCCUGACAAAGAGCCACGACUUCCGCUCCUGAGCAUCCUUCCGUUUUUUCCGCAAUCAAAUCCAAGUCUACAUCCUCUGCAAACUUCAUUUUUUCAGCUUGUAUCUUCACAAUUUGCUUUCUUGCUUCAAAAUUUGGUGGUCCAACGUAAAGCAAGCGAUCCAAGCGACCUGGUCGCAUAAGUGCCGGAUCAAUCAUAUCAGGGCGGUUUGUAGCAGCAAGCACAAGUACAUUCCUAAGCGCUUCAAUCCCAUCUAAUUCAUUCAGUAAAGCUGCAACUACCCGGUCGCUACUAUUGUCUUCUCCUCGAUUCGCAGUCAAAGCAUCUAUUUCAUCAAAAAAUAUAACUGAUGGACUGGCUUGUCUUGCUUUUUGAAAAACUUGCCUAACGGCUCGUUCACUUUCACCAACGAACUUAUCAAAUAGUUCUGGUCCUUUGACAGCAAUAAAAUUCAAUCCAGUCUCUGUUGCGAUGGCUUUGGCCGUGAUUGUUUUUGAACAACCAGGAGGCCCGUAAAGAAGUACGCCUUUCGGAGGUCGAACACCCAAUCGUGAGAAGGUUUCGCCAUGAGUUAAAGGCCAUUCUACUGAUUCUUUUAGUUUCUGUUUCACCUCUUCUUGUCCUCCAAUAUCUGACCAAUGUACAUUGGGCGAUUCCAUCAUAAACUCUCUCAUAGCACUUUGUCGGACAGACGAUAAAGCAAACUCCAAAUCGUCCAUCUGCACCGCACCGAAAAUGUCUAAUCCCGAAGUGUCCUUUUGUAGUGAAAUUGUCCUUUUUAUAGCUCUUAAAGCAGCCUCACGAACAACAGCUGCUAGGUCUGCACCAACAUAAGCGUGCGUUCGUGAGGCUAGAUCUUCCAAUUGAGCAUCAUUAAUUUCAUUAGGAACACCUGAUAACAACAGUUUAAUGAUAUCUAAUCGGGCGCUUUUAUCAGGAAUACCGAUUUCGAUUUCUUUCUCUAAACGUCCGGGUCGUCGAAGUGCUUCAUCAAUAGAGUUAGGUCGGUUUGUAGCAGCAAUAACAACAACUUUUCCGGCAUUAGCCAUUCCAUCUAAUAGAGUCAACAAAGUAGCAACAGCUCUACUCUCCGCUUCACUUACGUCCUCCGUUCGUUUGGGAGCCAGUGCGUCAAUUUCGUCUAUAAAAAUGAUUGAAGGUUGAUGCGCCCGUGCGUCUUCAAAUAUUUUUCGAAGCCUAGACUCAGUUUCUCCAAGGUACUUUCCGACCACAGAAGGACCAUCGAUCGUAAACACUUGUGCAUUUGCUUCUGCAGCAACAGCCCGCAUAACCAUCGUUUUGCCAGUACCUGGAGGACCAUAUAACAGAACACCCCGAGGAGGCAUAAUAUUAAAAAACUUAAAAAGUUCGGGAUUUUGAAACGGAAGUUCUACAAUGUCACGAAUUUGGGCGAUUUGGGCUUGUAAACCACCAAUCGACGAAAAUGUUACUGCAGAAGGAGGACCGUCGAAGUUUUGAGUCUCUUCACUUCCUUGGUUGUAUGCAGACUGAGUUCUGUCUUCAUGAGGUAAUUUUAAUAAAUCAGGUGUUUCAAUUUCCAUACUGGAAGCUGCCGUAAAUUUGUAAAUACGAGGCUCAUCUAAAGACAUAUCAGAAAUUGCUUCUAUAAGGUUUGAAGGAGAACGAAUGUGAAUUUCUUUAACUUUAUAAGAGCCGGGAGAAAGCUCAUCGAGAUCUUCUGUUGCUUUUGGUUCAGAUUCAUUCACGGAGGGAGAAGAUUGAGAGGACCCUACUUCAGUACCCGAUUGCGCAGAUAAACCUGAAUUUAUUUCAAAAAUUUCCGUAGCCAUAUUCUCUGAGCUGAGAUUUUUGCUACCACUCUUUGCCAUAUUCAUCGGUGAUUCACCCAUAACAAUCAUGCCUGGAUGAAGAUACCUUAUUUCUAGCAAUUCUUUCCUUAUUAAGGACUCUGGUAUAGGUUCAUUAUUGCUACUCAAUGAAGCAACAAUUUUGAUUCCUUCAGCUUCUUUUAAAGGGUGUACAUAUUGUGAAAUGUUAACUCGCUGGAAGGCCUUCAAGUUUGCCCAUUUCGCCAAUAAAGGACUAAUUAAUAUUUCAAAUGGACCUAUUCCAUUUCCCUUAACUGAUUGGGUUAUUCCAACAGCUUCACCGCCUUUAUGUUUCAAAUAAAUUACUUGUGACGGAGAAAGCUUAAGACGAUUCAAAGCAGCAGGACUUAAGAAUACGUGUCGAGUUUGCUGCCUUCUUAAAGAGCCAUCGUUUAUUUUAACAGUGAACUUAAUAGCCACAGACAUUAAAUUCCUAGUAUGGAACAAAAUUUAAUUUUUGGUUUUUGUCAAGCCCUGUUUCAUAAAUACUGUACUACGUUCGGCUGUCCUAAAUGUGUUCUUAAUUACAAAUAACUGAAUAUCAAAUGUAAAAAGUUUUUGGAAUUAACAUUUAGUUAACAAUGAUUGUUUCUAUUACGAGUUCUUUAUUUUAAUUUGAGAAUCGAUAUUGAAACACUAUAGUACCGUAUGAAAAAACGAAUAAAUAUCCAAAUCACUAAAACUGAAUUCGUGAAUAAACUAUAUAAUGCUAGAACGUUUUUUUUUGUCUUAGGAAUUUGGUUAACUAUUUGUGCAUUUAGAAUAUCGUGUGUUUUUUGCUACAGCUAACUCCAGAAAAGGAAACAUAGGAGUAGAUCCCAUUCUAACUUAGGUCACUUCACUUGUUCCAACAGAAUAAACAUAUACUGCAUUUCUAUGUCAGUAAUCAUUAAUUACAAGGAUUGCUAUCACAUAAAACAUUUGUUUAUUGAUAUUGUGUCGAAUCGAAUUGUUAUUUAAGGUUAGGUUGAAAAGGUACGUAUAUGAGAAACAAAAUAAUUAUUUUUAUUGUAAAGCUUUUUUUUUUUUAAAAUUAAAACUUUUUUCUAUGGCAAAUUAAAAAACUC